This 468-nucleotide ribosomal RNA is filed under the name uncultured bacterium. RNAcentral's name for it is "partial 16S ribosomal RNA". It matches the Rfam family "Bacterial small subunit ribosomal RNA", at positions 28 to 507 of the family's 1533-position model. The record is from RNAcentral.
GACGAACGCUGGCGGCGUGCUUAACACAUGCAAGUCGAACGGAAAGGCCCUGCUUUUGUGGGGUGCUCGAGUGGCGAACGGGUGAGUAACACGUGAGUAACCUGCCCUUGACUUUGGGAUAACUUCAGGAAACUGGGGCUAAUACCGGAUAGGAGCUCCUGCUGCAUGGUGGGGGUUGGAAAGUUUCGGCGGUUGGGGAUGGACUCGCGGCUUAUCAGCUUGUUGGUGGGGUAGUGGCCUACCAAGGCUUUGACGGGUAGCCGGCCUGAGAGGGUGACCGGCCACAUUGGGACUGAGAUACGGCCCAGACGCCUACGGGAGGCAGCAGUGGGGAAUAUUGCACAAUGGGCGGAAGCCUGAUGCAGCAACGCCGCGUGCGGGAUGACGGCCUUCGGGUUGUAAACCGCUUUCGCCUGUGACGAAGCGUGAGUGACGGUAAUGGGUAAAGAAGCACCGGCUAACUACGUG